GAUGAACGCUGGCGGCGUGCCUAAUACAUGCAAGUCGAGCGAACAGACGAGGAGCUUGCUCCUCUGACGUUAGCGGCGGACGGGUGAGUAACACGUGGAUAACCUACCUAUAAGACUGGGAUAACUUCGGGAAACCGGAGCUAAUACCGGAUAAUAUAUUGAACCGCAUGGUUCAAUAGUGAAAGACGGUUUUGCUGUCACUUAUAGAUGGAUCCGCGCCGCAUUAGCUAGUUGGUAAGGUAACGGCUUACCAAGGCGACGAUGCGUAGCCGACCUGAGAGGGUGAUCGGCCACACUGGAACUGAGACACGGUCCAGACUCCUACGGGAGGCAGCAGUAGGGAAUCUUCCGCAAUGGGCGAAAGCCUGACGGAGCAACGCCGCGUGAGUGAUGAAGGUCUUCGGAUCGUAAAACUCUGUCAUUAGGGAAGAACAAAUGUGUAAGUAACUAUGCACGUCUUGACGGUACCUAAUCAGAAAGCCACGGCUAACUACGUG
This 497-nucleotide ribosomal RNA is filed under the name uncultured bacterium. Its description in RNAcentral is "partial 16S ribosomal RNA". It matches the Rfam family "Bacterial small subunit ribosomal RNA", at positions 28 to 507 of the family's 1533-position model. The record is from RNAcentral.